CCUACGGGAGGCAGCAGUGAGGAAUAUUGGUCAAUGGGCGCGAGCCUGAACCAGCCAAGUCGCGUGAGGGAAGACGGUCCUAUGGAUUGUAAACCUCUUUUGUCGGGGAGCAAAAGACGCCACGCGUGGCGCUCCGAGAGUACCCGAAGAAAAAGCAUCGGCUAACUCCGUGCCAGCAGCCGCGGUAAUACGGAGGAUGCGAGAGUUAUCCGGAUUUAUUGGGUUUAAAGGGUGCGCAGGCGGAAGAUCAAGUCAGCGGUAAAAUUGAGAGGCUCAAUCUCUUCGAGCCGUUGAAACUGGUUAGCUUGAGUGAGUGAGAGGUAUGCGGAAUGCGUGGUGUAGAGGUGAAAUGCAUAGAUAUCACGCAGAACUCCGAUUGCGAAGGCAGCAUACCGGCGCUCAACUGACGCUCAUGCACGAAAGUGUGGGUAUCGAACAGGAUUAGAUACCCGUGUAGUC
This 459-nucleotide ribosomal RNA is filed under the name uncultured bacterium. RNAcentral describes it as "partial 16S ribosomal RNA". It matches the Rfam family "Bacterial small subunit ribosomal RNA", at positions 338 to 795 of the family's 1533-position model. The record is from RNAcentral.